Molecule: transfer RNA, 76 nt
Filed under: Branchiibius hedensis
Lineage: Bacteria; Bacillati; Actinomycetota; Actinomycetes; Micrococcales; Dermacoccaceae
Description: tRNA-Lys
Rfam family: tRNA
About the family: Transfer RNA (tRNA) molecules are approximately 80 nucleotides in length. Their secondary structure includes four short double-helical elements and three loops (D, anti-codon, and T loops).
Source: RNAcentral
GGGCCCUUAGCUCAAUUGGUAGAGCAGUGGACUUUUAAUCCAUUGGUUCCGGGUUCGAGCCCCGGGGGGCCCACCC